UACGUAGGGAGCGAGCGUUGUCCGGAUUCAUUGGGCGUAAAGAGCUCGUAGGCGGCUUGAUAAGUCGGAUGUGAAACCUCCAGGCUCAACCUGGAGUCGCCAUCCGAUACUGUCAUAGCUAGAGUCCGGUAGGGGCCCACGGAACUCCUGGUGUAGCGGUGAAAUGCGCAGAUAUCAGGAAGAACACCAGUGGCGAAGGCGGUGGGCUUGGCCGGUACUGCCGCUGUGGAGCGAAAGCGUGGGGAGCGAACACG
RNAcentral lists this ribosomal RNA (254 nucleotides) under uncultured bacterium. RNAcentral describes it as "partial 16S ribosomal RNA". It matches the Rfam family "Bacterial small subunit ribosomal RNA", at positions 524 to 776 of the family's 1533-position model. The record is from RNAcentral.